ACAUCCAGAGAACUUAGCAGAGAUGCUUUGGUGCCUUCGGGAACUCUGAGACAGGUGCUGCAUGGCUGUCGUCAGCUCGUGUUGUGAAAUGUUGGGUUAAGUCCCGNAACGAGCGCAACCCUUUAUCCUUUGUUGCCAGCGGUUCGGCCGGGAACUCAAAGGAGACUGCCGGUGAUAAACCGGAGGAAGGUGGGGAUGACGUCAAGUCAUCAUGGCCCUUACGGCCAGGGCUACACACGUGCUACAAUGGCGCAUACAAAGAGAAGCGACCUCGCGAGAGCAAGCGGACCUCAUAAAGUGCGUCGUAGUCCGGAUUGGAGUCUGCAACUCGACUCCAUGAAGUCGGAAUCGCUAGUAAUCGUAGAUCAGAAUGCUACGGUGAGUACGUUCCCGGGCCUUGUACACACCGCCCGUCACACCAUGGGAGUGGGUUGCAAAAGAAGUAGGUAGCUUAACCUUCGGGAGGGCGCUUACCACUUUGUGAUUCAUGACUGGGGUGAAGUCGUAACAAGGUAAGCGUAGCGAG
Molecule: ribosomal RNA, 526 nt
Filed under: uncultured bacterium
Lineage: Bacteria
Description: bacterial SSU rRNA
Rfam family: Bacterial small subunit ribosomal RNA
Source: RNAcentral